This 745-nucleotide long non-coding RNA is filed under the name Malus domestica (apple). RNAcentral's name for it is "long non-coding RNA (MDOM_LNC012050)". The record is from RNAcentral. Lineage: Eukaryota; Viridiplantae; Streptophyta; Magnoliopsida; Rosales; Rosaceae.
CUCAAAUUCCCUCUAAUUCCUAAACUUUCUCAAAUUCUUUAAAAUCAAUUUCUAAUUGAAUACACCUAGAAUGUUAUAAACUUCUUAAAAAUCAUAACUGAAUACAUCCGAAUUUCUAAGGAUUUUAAUAAACUAUCUUAAAAUUCUAAUUGAAUACACCUUAAAUUUCAGAGAAUCACUUAAAAUCCUAAUUGAAUACCCCUAAAUUUAUUAAAAGAAUUAAAAUCCCUCAAAAUCCCAAUUGAAUACACCCCCCGAAAUCUAUGAGUUUAUAAAUCCAUUAAAAUUUUACAUUUCCUUUGGAGAUGCUCUUAAAAAACAAACAGUUCUAAUCGUCGUAUAAAAUCAAGGAAGAUACAUAAUUUGAGUCAUCAAGCAAGUAAAGGAAACUUACUUAGUUGGUGCCUAGUUAAUAGAUUUUUCUCAUGAAAAAUAAAUGUGAUGGGUUGAAGCCGAAAUUAAAUGAGUUAUAAGGGAGAGAGUCUAAUUUUCAAUUUUUUAACCUAGUGAAACAGUAAUCCUACACGAAACCCAAGAGUUAGAGGUUAAAAAGGGAACUUUCAUGAAAAUGGUUUGGACUAAGUUUAUCUAUUCUAUAUAUAUAAAGGGAAAAGCCCAAAUAGGUGAAGCAUUUCAAAAUACCAAAAACACCCCUAUGUUUUCUUCACUAUCAAACCUAAAAAAUUUCAAAAAACUAGGACAAAUUGGUAAAAAAAAAUUAACUACAUAGAAAACUUUAAUCGAA